GCGGACGUAGCUCAGUUGGCAGAGCACAAGGUUGUGGCCCUUGGGGUCGUGGGUUCAAGCCCCAUCGUUCGCC
This is a transfer RNA of 73 nucleotides. It matches the Rfam family "tRNA". From Rfam's summary of the family: Transfer RNA (tRNA) molecules are approximately 80 nucleotides in length. Their secondary structure includes four short double-helical elements and three loops (D, anti-codon, and T loops). The record is from Rfam.